RNAcentral lists this ribosomal RNA (691 nucleotides) under uncultured bacterium. RNAcentral describes it as "bacterial SSU rRNA". It matches the Rfam family "Bacterial small subunit ribosomal RNA", at positions 32 to 715 of the family's 1533-position model. The record is from RNAcentral.
AACGCUAGCUACAGGCUUAACACAUGCAAGUCGAGGGGCAGCAUUGGAGUAGCAAUACUUCAGAUGGCGACCGGCGCACGGGUGAGUAACACGUAUCCAACCUGCCGCUUACUCGGGGAUAGCCUUUCGAAAGAAAGAUUAAUACCCGAUGGUAUAAAGAGUUCGCAUGUUCUCUUUAUUAAAGAAUUUCGGUAAGCGAUGGGGAUGCGUUCCAUUAGAUUGUUGGCGGGGUAACGGCCCACCAAGUCUACGAUGGAUAGGGGUUCUGAGAGGAAGGUCCCCCACAUUGGAACUGAGACACGGUCCAAACUCCUACGGGAGGCAGCAGUGAGGAAUAUUGGUCAAUGGACGAGAGUCUGAACCAGCCAAGUAGCGUGAAGGAUGACUGCCCUAUGGGUUGUAAACUUCUUUUAUAAGGGAAUAAAGUGAGGGACGUGUCCCUUUUUGUAUGUACCUUAUGAAUAAGGAUCGGCUAACUCCGUGCCAGCAGCCGCGGUAAUACGGAGGAUCCGAGCGUUAUCCGGAUUUAUUGGGUUUAAAGGGUGCGUAGGUGGUUUGAUAAGUCAGCGGUGAAAGUUUGCAGCUUAACUGUAAAAAUGCCGUUGAAACUGUCGGACUUGAGUGUAAAUGAGGUAGGCGGAAUGCGUGGUGUAGCGGUGAAAUGCAUAGAUAUCACGAAGAACUCCGAUUG